Sitophilus oryzae (rice weevil) is the source of this 66-nucleotide non-coding RNA. Lineage: Eukaryota; Metazoa; Arthropoda; Insecta; Coleoptera; Curculionidae. The record is from the annotation of a RefSeq genome assembly.
AGGAUAAUAGUUAAAAAUAACGUUUAAUUUGCAUUUAAAAAGUACUGAUUAAAACAGUUUAUCUUU